CCCGCCGCGGUGUGUCCCUGCGCGCGUGAGGGGGACGCGCGGCGUUCCCAGAGAUGCGAGGGGAAGCGGGCGCUUCUAGCUAAAAAAAGCAGGGAUACGGUGUAAUGUGUGGAGAAACGGGCACUUGUGGCUGAAAAAAAGCAGGGAUACGGUGUGAUGCGAGCGCUGGUUGGCGCCUCCGGCUCGAGGGCCCGAAGUGGGUGGGCGCUGCAGAAACGCGGGGUCUGAGGGAGCGAAUUCCCCAGCUCCCGAAUUCAGUGCGGUUCAGUGGAAUUUGGAGCCCUAAACUAGGCCUAAGGCUUGUAGCUCUGAGGGGAGGGAUUAAUUAUCCCCUGCCCUCCCCUUCAAAACGUUUUUUUUGAGCAGCCUGGAUUAUAUUUGUAGAGCUCCUAAUGUAUUUUUAAGUAAAGAUUACAUUUAGUCAGUAGCGCUGUCUUAGCUCUCGUACUUGCAAUAAUUUCAUGCAUAUUCUCAUAGUAAAUUUUUAUUUCUGUGGCAAUUAUUAGCUGUAAAGUUCCUCCAUUCCAGUAGCACUUUGAUAAUUUCUCCUGUUAGAAAUAGGCUUAAGUAUUUAAGCAUUUUGAAAAAAAUAACAUCAUAUGAAAUACCUUAAUUACAUAUUUUUCAUGUAUCAUCACGUACGAAAUGGAUUUAAGCUGUGGAGAACAUUCAGGACCUGGGAUUUGUGGUUUCAGAACAAGGUUUAUUUUUGUUCACAGGCUCCUGGCUAUUUGCUGUGUUAAUCUACACUGUGUCCCUUAAAUUUCAGAUUUUUGGGAGAAUGAGUUGUUACUUUGUUUGGUGAAAAGUGACUGUUUCCCCUCGCCAGCCUCAUCUGCAGUUAUGCCAACAAAUGCAGAAGCCAAACAAUCCAGGGCUGAACAGGGGUUUUAGGGAACUAUUGCCACAGAACCAACAAAUCAAAAAUAGGUGGCUUUCCUCUGUCCUAGAAAAUACCAUUAUUUGAACUUUGGAAUGCUUCCUACGGAGAGAGCAGAUGAUUUAAUGGUGUUUUUAAAGUGGUGUAACUGUGCUAACUUCUACCUGGGGCCGUGCAGAAUUAGGUCAGCUAUAUAUUCCCUGGGGAAAAAAAAAAAAAGGCAAAAACUCCUCAAAAAAACCCCCAAACCUGUUUUAAAACCCCCUGCAAACUGUUCAAAUACUGGGUGUGUGCUGUAACCCUCCGUGGCAACAGACACUGUGAUUCAUUUUCCUUCAGCAAAGUUUGUGUAGUGUCUCCUAGGAACAGCAGUUCCUGCAUCAGUCUCAUGCCCAAGUUUGGGGAGGGCUCACCCAGAACAGCUCCAGGACGUUAAUUCAGUUACUUGAUCACAGGGGCUCGAAAAAUCUGCCAGAAACAGUCAGAGAAAAUCAAGUUACACGUUGGGAAACAGCAAAGGGCAGGACGUGCUGUGUGGCAUCUGGGAGGUCACUCACUGUGAAGGGAGAUGAGGAAAAUGCCUCUUAAAUAUUCAAGUACAGAGUAUAAAGGUGGUCAAGUAUUUCUCUAACUGGCUGUGAUGCCUUUUUAAUUAUUGAAUUCAGCAUUUUAGCUCAAUUUAAUCAGAAUGGCCUUCUCAAUAUCGUUUUUGAAAAUCAGGUGUCCUUGGGUAAUUUAGAAUUAUCAAAAAAUGUACUUAAGUGGAACUCUACUGCAUUGUUUUGUGAAUCCUGUUUAAAAGUUCUUUCCUUACAGGAAAGGGGCCAUUCUUACUCCUUUUAUGUUUCUGACACCACCACACAACCCUGAAAGGAGCAGAAACAUCCAAUUCCCUGUAAGCACAUGUGUGCUUAAAUCUAGAAUUUAAGAUACUCCUUUUCAAGACAAGUCACACAACGAAGGCCCCCAGCCCAAGAAGAGUGUUCUUGAGCAUUAUUAUUCCAGAAAAAUGAAAGUCAGAGCCUGACACAACGGCAGAACAAAUUCAGAUUCUGAAGGGCAUUGUCUUGGUUAAUACAUCCCACAGCAAAGGUAAAUAUUUCUACUUCCUCCUGUCAAAAAAUAAAAACAUAGAAUUUUCAUUUUAUUGAAAACAGCUACCCAUACAGAAUCCCUGGUAAAACAUUUAAAUUCACAAACUUCUUUGGUAUUGGUUACAACAUUUCAAAUGUAAAAUAUCAGCAGCAGACCUCCAGCCCUGUACAGGCUACACUAAAGCAACCAGCUGGUUUUAAUUUAAGCCUGGAUUAUUUCUGCUUGUGCUCUUCUCAUUUUAUUAGACUGCUCCUUAUUCACCAAAGGUGCUGGUGUGUCUAAUUUGUAAUAGCUGGAGAAAAUUAGAGAAAAAAAACAUUUCUUCCAUCUUUCCAACACAUUCACAGUCUGUCAAUAAAAGUAAUAUAUAUUAACAUGCAGGAAAAAAGCCAUAAUAUGAAACCAUAGCAAUUCAAUCAUUCUCCAAUAAAUACAAAUAUACACCGUGGACAGUUGUCCUCCACCAAACAAAGUAAAAAUUUUGGGAUGUUUCUAGAGAUUUCUUUCAAUAAUCCUUAAUAAAGAGGGGACAGUGAAACAUGUAAGAGUUUUUCUUUCUAUAGAAAGAAAUUCCCUCUUCACCAAGGAAGAGCUCACAGCUCACCAAACCCACAAUAGAGCAGACUCCAGGCUGGGUUUGGGUGCUGAGGGACAGCCUGCAGGUAAAAGCAGAGCAGGCUUUGUUCUGUGACUUCUGAAGAGGGAAAAGAAGAGGAUUUGAGUUUGUGGAAGGAGUGAAGGUUGUAAUUAUAAAACUGUUCCAGCAGUCCAGGCAGACACAAGCUUUGGAAUCUUCCUCCCGUGGAGAAAAGAAACACACGUUCACACUCUGCAAGGGGAAGCACCGCUGAAAAAAACCCCCACAAUCAAUCAAACAAAAAAACCCCAACACCUCCCCCCCACUAUAUCUUCACAUUUAAUAAUUUAGAGUUAAUUGCACAGCUCAGAGGUGAACCCUGGAUUAUAUAUAACCUGUCCCAAAGUCCCCCUGGAGCUGUCAGCAGCUGUCCCGGCGCUAUGAAUAGGUGUUCGGUGUCACCUGCUGGGAACAUUCCUGACUUCAAAGUAUUGCUGAUAUCUGUGUGCACAGACAUUUUACACAGAAUCUACUAAGUUAUCUCCAACCCUAAACCAUAUCAGCAAACCUGAACAAAGCCACCCAACCAUCUGUACUUUUUAUAUUUUCACCCACACGCUUCCAAAGAAAGACCCAGGAAACAUCCUGUGCGAGUGUGUAUCAUUUAUUGUAGUUCAAGAGAGUCAGGAAUUGAACAGAAGACACGGCGAAAAAACAAACAAAAGAAAAAACAACCUGUUUUCUCAGACUUAAUUUUAAAACACUGUGGUUUCAAAUCCUUUUUAAAAAGGAAAUUCAAGUAUCAUAUGCAGGGGGCAGUAAUACAAAAAUGUCUGUGAAUAUUUUUUUUUUUCAUUUUUUUUUUUAAAAACGUAAUUCUACAUUUCCUGCACCCUUUCUGCUUUGGUAAGGCCAAGCCAUGGAUACAAAUUGGUAGCAACAUAAAAAAAAAUGACCCCCUGCCCCAAACUGCAGCCUCCAAGGAUAAAAGUAUCUGCUCUCUGUGGACAAGCUCGAAUGGCUCAGAACUGUCAGUUAGCAUAUAUCAUAUCUGCAGCAUUGAAAGAAUGUAUUUCUUUUGUUUAAAAGUCACUGAAAUCCUGGUAUUCCCAAGCAUCUCAUUCAUGGCAGCUGUUUUAACAUAUUUCUAUCUCGAGGCUUUUCACAAAUACCAGAGUGUCUUGAUCAACGUAAAGGAAAGAGACAUUUCAAGGAAUGGAAAUUAAAAUCCGUGUGUGAAGUCUUUGCCUUUUUGAAAUUAUCCUUGUGUCUAAUACCAAUUAAAACCCAAAUAGGCAGAUGUGUGUAAUAUAAAAAUAGGAUCCCAAGAUGAACACUUUGUUGCAGGCACAGUUAUCGCACAGAAUAUGUUCUUUUGAGGGCAGGGGAAUGAUUCUGAUUUUCACAAGGUUCAUUGGGGGGUUUUUUUGCAUUACAAAAAAAAAAAAGAGAAAAAAAAAAAAGAGACAGCAGUGCAGGUUUGAUGGGUGGAACAGAAAGAAGGGAGGGAAAGAGGAAAAAGUUACUUUAGCAGCAAAAUGUCCAAGGUUCUAACCACAAUCAAAUUAACGGAUAUCUGGCGGUAAAAAACAAGGUUGAAGGGAUGCUGCCCUGAUCCAUUCGUCUUUGCUAAAAUAAUUCAGCUGUAAAAACUCCAAAAUGUGACAUAUUGAAGGACAGUUUUGUAACAUAAGCAACUUCCUAGCUUGUCCUCCAUGUUAUUGACCAUCGUUACCACUUAAAUAUAUGUACAAGAAUUAAGCUGCUUUUCUCCUCGGCCACAUGCUCCUGGUCACUACUGAAGUCAGUGCCGUGGGCGUGCUAAUCCCAUAACAGCUUCCAAGUGUUUCUGCUCCACUACUGCCACAACAGCCCACGCCCUGCUCUCCCCACUGCUGUUGGUGGGCACUGCAAGGGAGUUCCUAAUGGUCAUUCUGCUUGUCUCUCAUCCAGGCUUGGAUUUGCUCCUUAAGUUCUGGCACUGAUAGGGUAAAAAAAAAAGAAAAAAGAAUGAUUAAAUUACUUAGUAAUACAACUACAAGAGAGCUCCUCAUGACCAAUGGAGAUUUCUUCUCUAGUGACCUGAUCAGGACUAUCUACUACUGUUGUCUUCUCCCUGAAUGCAGUUUCUGCACAGCUUUGGACAGUCACUAUUUAGGAAACUCCACUUGCCUCUGAAUUCAUCCGGAGCAUCGCUGUAAUCAAUCUCUGCACGGGCGUUCUUGGCAACAAUUUCCUCCACUUUCUCUGCCAGCAGUUUGAAUUUCUCUAUUGCUAUGGUGGACUUGAUUCCAGCCUUUCUCAUCUUGGAGAUAACCUCCUCAAAGAGCUCUUUACUGUAGGACCUCUACAAGCAAAGCACAAAAAGACAACUUUGCUGAGUCGUAGGAUCCUCGCCUGCCAUAAAAAUGCUAAAGAUAUUUUAAUGCACUUUUAAAACUGCAGAAGAAGGGAUCAAUGAAACCUCAAGCUUACAUCAGACUCAAAAGCAGUAUGUGGUAACAUUUCAUCUAGCACCAAAAGGUCAACUUUGGGGUAGACUUAUGAUUCUUUUUUUUAAUAGUCAUCACCACAGUAGGACUGUUCAGGACCAAAAAAAGGCAACAUCACCUAAAGAAAAUGAGGAAGACACUCAGAGAGACUGACUAUGAUUAUCAGGAUUGUUCCUCACACAAAACAUCUGUCUUGCCACUCUCCUGUCUGUAUUACUGUUUUCACAAGUCUUGGCUGAAAAUAUAGCACAAAAUGAAUUUAUUUUUUUAAUUUCUUAAUUUCUCUGUUAAUGAGCAAGGCAGUACUGGGAAAGAAGUGAUUCUUUCUCCUAAUCCAAACAAGAACCAACAGAAAAGCCACCCCAUGAUGUUGCAAAAAUAGUAAGGCAGCUCAGAGGGAGCGAAUGCUGGAGAUUUGCCAACCGGUGCAGUAGGAAUAUCCAGAGAGACCAAAUGCAUAUCCUGUAGUUCCCACAAAGCAAGCAUUGCUCUCAUGUGAAAAACCAAGCUAGGGAAGGACUUUUGUAGCUGCUUCUGUUCUACAGACACCGUUUCCUUUUAACUUCACAGUGCCGUGUUUUGACGUAAACCUUUUAAUAAAAAAACACCAU
Long non-coding RNA from Chiroxiphia lanceolata (lance-tailed manakin), 5655 nucleotides. RefSeq lists it as uncharacterized. The record is from RefSeq and is a predicted model, not a curated record. The transcript is spliced from 3 exons. Lineage: Eukaryota; Metazoa; Chordata; Aves; Passeriformes; Pipridae.